Molecule: ribosomal RNA, 253 nt
Filed under: uncultured bacterium
Lineage: Bacteria
Description: partial 16S ribosomal RNA
Rfam family: Bacterial small subunit ribosomal RNA
Source: RNAcentral
UACGUAGGGGGCAAGCGUUGUCCGGAUUUAUUGGGCGUAAAGAGCGUGUAGGCGGUUUGGUAGGUCCGUUGUGAAAACUCGAGGCUCAACCUCGAGACGCCGAUGGAAACCAUCAGACUAGAGUCCGGAAGAGGAGAGUGGAAUUCCUGGUGUAGCGGUGAAAUGCGUAGAUAUCGGGAGGAACACCUGUGGCGAAAGCGGCUCACUGGACCAUUACUGACGCUGAUGCACGAAAGCUAGGGGAGCAAACAGG